CCGUCCUACGGGACGCAGCAGUGAGGAAUAUUGGUCAAUGGCCGAGAGGCUGAACCAGCCAAGUCGCGUGAGGGAUGACGGCCCUACGGGUUGUAAACCUCUUUUGUCGGGGAGCAAGACCCGCCACGAGUGGCGGAGCGAGAGUACCCGAAGAAAAAGCAUCGGCUAACUCCGUGCCAGCAGCCGCGGUAAUACGGAGGAUGCGAGCGUUAUCCGGAUUUACUGGGUGUAAAGGGAGCGCAGGCGGCGCGUUAAGCCUGGUGUGAAAGCCCGCGGCCCAACCGCGGGACUGCAUUGGGAACUGG
Molecule: ribosomal RNA, 305 nt
Filed under: uncultured bacterium
Lineage: Bacteria
Description: bacterial SSU rRNA
Rfam family: Bacterial small subunit ribosomal RNA
Source: RNAcentral